GUUUCUCCUGAGCCUUUUAAUUAUAUUAAUGGUUUGUUUGUCUUCGU
Molecule: unclassified non-coding RNA, 47 nt
Filed under: Cocal virus
Lineage: Riboviria; Orthornavirae; Negarnaviricota; Monjiviricetes; Mononegavirales; Rhabdoviridae
Source: RNAcentral